GAUUGAAUUAAAACCUGGCUCUUAUGAAUUUGGCGGCGGACGGGUGAUUAACACGUGGGUAACCUGCCCAUAAGACUGGGAUAACUCCGGGAAACCGGGGCUAAUACCGGAUAACAUUUUGAACCGCAGGGUUCAAAAUUGAAAGGCGGCUUCGGCUGUCACUUAUGGAUGGACCCGCGUCGCAUUAGCUAGUUGGUGAGGUAACGGCUCACCAAGGCAACGAUGCGUACCCAACCUGAGAGGGUGAUCGGCCACACUGGGACUGAAACACGGCCCAAACUCCUACGGGAGGCAGCAUUAGGGAAUCUUCCGCAAUGGACAAAAGUCUGACGGACCACCGCCCCGGGAGUGAUGAAGGCUUUCGGGUCGUAAAACUCUGUUGUUAGGGAAAAACAAGUGCUAUUUGAAUAAGCUGGCACCUUGACGGUACCUAACCAGAAGGCCACGGCUAACUACUUGCCACCACCCGCGGUAAUACUUAGGUGGCAAGCGUUAUCCGAAAUUAUGGGGCGUAAAGCGCGCGCAGUUGGUUUCUUAAUUCUGAUGUGAAAGCCCACGGCUCACCCGUGAAGGGUCAUUGAAAACUGGGAAACUUGAGUGCAAAAGAGGAAAGUGAAAUUCCAUGUGUAGCGUUGAAAUGCGUAGAGAUAUGGAGGAACACCAGUGGCAAAGGCGACUUUCUGGUCUGUAACUGACACUUGAGGCGCGAAAGCGUGGGGAGCAAACAGGAUAAGAUACCCUGGUUAGUCAACGCCGUAAACGAUGAGUGCUAAGUGUUAAGAGGGUUUCCGCCCUUUAGUGCUGAAGUUAACGCAUUAGCCACUCCGCCUGGGGGAGUAGGCCGCAAGGCUGAAACUCAAAGGAAUUGACGGGGCCCGCAC
This 881-nucleotide ribosomal RNA is filed under the name Bacillus sp. D-25(2014). RNAcentral describes it as "bacterial SSU rRNA". It matches the Rfam family "Bacterial small subunit ribosomal RNA", at positions 65 to 926 of the family's 1533-position model. The record is from RNAcentral. Lineage: Bacteria; Bacillati; Bacillota; Bacilli; Caryophanales; Bacillaceae.